This is a non-coding RNA of Potamilus streckersoni, 73 nucleotides long. NCBI's taxonomy places the organism in Eukaryota, Metazoa, Mollusca, Bivalvia, Unionida, Unionidae. The record is from the annotation of a GenBank genome assembly.
GCUACCAUAGCCUUGUGGUUAGAGCGUCCGCCUCGGAUGCGGGAGGUCGUGGGUUCGAUCCCCGGUCGAGUCA